RNAcentral lists this ribosomal RNA (489 nucleotides) under uncultured bacterium. RNAcentral describes it as "partial 16S ribosomal RNA". It matches the Rfam family "Bacterial small subunit ribosomal RNA", at positions 29 to 523 of the family's 1533-position model. The record is from RNAcentral.
AAUGAACGUUGGCGGCGUGGAUUAGGCAUGCAAGUCGAGCGCGAACCGUAGCAAUACGGGGAGAGCGGCGAAAGGGAGAGUAAUACGUGGAUACCUGCCCUCGGGUUCGGGAUAGCUACAGGAAACUGUAGGUAAUACCGAAUAACAUCUUCGGAUCAAAGGUGUGAUUCCGCCCGGGGAGGGGUCCGCGUCCUAUUAGCUAGUUGGUGAGGUAACGGCCCACCAAGGCGAAGAUGGGUAUGGGGUGUGAGAGCAUGACCCCACUCACUGGGACUGAGACACUGCCCAGACACCUACGGGUGGCUGCAGUCGAGAAUCUUCGGCAAUGGGGGAAACCCUGACCGAGCGACGCCGCGUGCGAGAUGAAGGCCUUCGGGUUGUAAAUCGCUGUCAGAGGGGAGGAAAUGCCGGCAAGUAAUUCAUAAUCAACUCGAUUUGACCUAGCCUCAGAGGAAGGACGGGCUAAGUCCGUGCCAGCCGCCGCCGUAA